Molecule: ribosomal RNA, 497 nt
Filed under: uncultured bacterium
Lineage: Bacteria
Description: partial 16S ribosomal RNA
Rfam family: Bacterial small subunit ribosomal RNA
Source: RNAcentral
GAUGAACGCUGGCGGCGUGCCUAAUACAUGCAAGUCGAGCGAACGGACGGGAAGCUUGCUUUUCUGAUGUUAGCGGCGGACGGGUGAGUAACACGUGGAUAACCUACCUAUAAGACUGGGAUAACUUCGGGAAACCGGAGCUAAUACCGGAUAAUAUUUUGAACCGCAUGGUUCAAAAGUGAAAGACGGUCUUGCUGUCGCUUAUAGAUGGAUCCGCGCUGCAUUAGCUAGUUGGUAAGGUAACGGCUUACCAAGGCAUCGAUGCAUAGCCGACCUGAGAGGGUGAUCGGCCACACUGGAACUGAGACACGGUCCAGACUCCUACGGGAGGCAGCAGUAGGGAAUCUUCCGCAAUGGGCGAAAGCCUGACGGAGCAACGCCGCGUGAGUGAUGAAGGUCUUCGGAUCGUAAAACUCUGUUAUUAGGGAAGAACAUAUGUGUAAGUAACUGUGCACAUCUUGACGGUACCUAAUCAGAAAGCCACGGCUAACUACGUG